GCAUUAUUAACAAAGCCACAUAAGAAACACAGCAUUUUUGCCACAUGUAUCCAUAAAUGUAAUCAGAACUGUGAACAUUCAACAUUGCUAAAGAUUAACAUAGUGAGAGUUUAUUGGAAGGAGACGUUUAUGGAAGGAGUGUUCAGUGUCAGUGCUUUGUAGCACUCAGUGGUGAAACUGUAACUUGUUAAAAGUACUGAUCCCAGUUUGAUGUUUCUGUUCAGAAGAUGAGAAAGGAGGCAGAUUCUGGGAGUGAUAAAGACUUCCUGAGGCGGGGGGGGGGGGGGUGUUCUGUCACAGAUUCAUCCAGCAUACCGUCAACACCAGGUCCUUCAGCUCCACUUACCUGUUCACAAUCACCUGAGUACUAACCUGCCACACCUGUAUCACCCUAAUCAUGAACUAUUCAUAAGCACACUGAUAUCACAUACUUGUUAUCUGGUCUCAUCAGGCUCUAUGUGAGUAGCUACCAUUCUGACUCCCUUCGUGGUUACCUCACGUACUAAGCGUUAUCCACCUCCUUUAUCUCUGCCGUCCGCCGUUACCCAGUUUUCUCCACGCUUCAUCCCGCAACAGAGCAAAGGACUUGUCAGUUAAGUGUGUUCUUCCAUUUUUCUUCCAACUGCUGGUGCCAUUCCCGCUCGGGAAGAUAGCUAUGAGGGACAUUCUAUGUUAUAUACUGUACACAAAUUCACACUGUACACUGAUAUUACAGAUCUUACUCACGCUCCCACUGUGCAUCACCGCGCUUUGUCAUUUGACAAUAAAGUACCAUGAGUGUAUGAAGAGAAGAAGUUCACAGAGGCGGUGAAGCUCCUGCUCUCCCUCAUGACAGCAAAGAUCUCUCCACACAGCUUCUGGAUGACUCUGCUCAUAGACUCUCUGCCCUUACUGGAGCAAAAAAAGGUACGCACACGCACUCUACACUUGCUUUAUACACUUGUUUUCUCUGCAGUUGAUGAUGAUGGGGUUGUGCACGUGUGCUGGGAAAAUACUGGGAAAGUCAAUCCUGGGUUUAAAGGGUGAACAGAAAACUGGAUCAGAUUAUUUUUUUAUGUGUGUAUGAGAGUCUUAUUCAAACUUUUACACAUGCUCAAUGUAUUUGAUAUAUAUAUUUUUUUAAAGAAAAUGUUUAAAAUAG
Molecule: long non-coding RNA, 1141 nt
Organism: Ictalurus punctatus (channel catfish)
Lineage: Eukaryota; Metazoa; Chordata; Actinopteri; Siluriformes; Ictaluridae
Source: Ensembl